Molecule: transfer RNA, 74 nt
Filed under: Cryptoglena skujai
Lineage: Eukaryota; Euglenozoa; Euglenophyceae; Euglenales; Euglenaceae
Description: tRNA-Arg
Rfam family: tRNA
About the family: Transfer RNA (tRNA) molecules are approximately 80 nucleotides in length. Their secondary structure includes four short double-helical elements and three loops (D, anti-codon, and T loops). Further hydrogen bonds mediate the characteristic L-shaped molecular structure. tRNAs have two regions of fundamental functional importance: the anti-codon, which is responsible for specific mRNA codon recognition, and the 3' end, to which the tRNAs corresponding amino acid is attached (by aminoacyl-tRNA synthetases). tRNAs cope with the degeneracy of the genetic code in two manners: having more than one tRNA (with a specific anti-codon) for a particular amino acid; and 'wobble' base-pairing, i.e. permitting non-standard base-pairing at the 3rd anti-codon position.
Source: RNAcentral
GUCAUAGUCGCCUAAUUGGAUAAGGCAACGACCUUCUAAGUCGUGCACUGUAGGUUCGAGUCCUAUCUAUGACG